UACGUAGGGGGCAAGCGUUGUCCGGAAUCAUUGGGCGUAAAGAGCGUGUAGGCGGCUUGGUAAGUCCGCUGUGAAAGUCCAGGGCUCAACCCUGGAAAGCCGGUGGAAACUGUCAAGCUUGAGUCCGGAAGAGGCGAGUGGAAUUCCUGGUGUAGCGGUGAAAUGCGCAGAUAUCAGGAGGAACCCCAAUGGCGAAGGCAGCUCGCUGGGACGGUACUGACGCUGAGACGCGAAAGCGUGGGGAGCAAACAGG
Molecule: ribosomal RNA, 253 nt
Filed under: uncultured bacterium
Lineage: Bacteria
Description: partial 16S ribosomal RNA
Rfam family: Bacterial small subunit ribosomal RNA
Source: RNAcentral